This 1460-nucleotide long non-coding RNA is filed under the name Gopherus agassizii (Agassiz's desert tortoise). RNAcentral describes it as "lncRNA (ENSGAGG00000020392.1)". The record is from RNAcentral. Lineage: Eukaryota; Metazoa; Chordata; Testudines; Testudinidae.
GGGAUUUUCCUGGUAUAAUUUCUAAUCCUGUUUAGGCCUUGUUGAUAAUAGACUGACAAUCCUUAGUACAAAGGGAAAGUGAAGUCUAGUGGUUACAGCAGAAAGUAGUCAUGAUAGGGUUAGCUAGGUUACCCAGAGUAUUACGGGAUGAAGAUAUGCUCCACCCUGUUUAAUCAGUGGGAAAUUCCCCCACCACACACACUGUUGUGACGCAGUCAGAUAAAGCAGCAUGUUCCUAGGUGAUUUGUUAUUUUUGUUGCACUGAAGCUGUCUCUUUUCAAAAGCCAGGAUUUCGGAUUCCUGCUUUCCAACUUCAGCUCUGCCUUUUAAAUUGCCUUGGGGCAAAUUCCUUUGGCCCAGAUUGUCACUAGUAGCCUCGGUUGUUGGGUGCCCAGCUUUAAACACCUGUGGAUUGCUUCUCAGAGAUGCUGGACACACACAUCCCUCUAUGUCUUUUAAUUAGCUUUGAUUAGCAGGCCCAAGGAGUCCUAUACCGGGCACUCACCAUAGGAAGCUCCUAACAUUUGAGAUUUUAAAAAAUAUUUCCUUUCCUUUCCCUGUGUCCCAUGUUUUUCAUCUUCAACAAGUGAUAUUAACACUUCAACCUCCCCCACCAUGGUGUUUGUAAGGCUGAAAUAUUUACUGCUAGCCAUUUCUAAGGGGCAGCAUGUAGCUGUGAUCACCCAGCCGCUGACCGGGGAAUGAAUUGUGACUCAAAAAAGCCCCAUUUUGGUCUGUGAUUCCUUCUUUGCUCAGGGUGAACAGUGAGCUGCACCCAUGUACUGCACUCCUCUGUACCAGCUCAGCUGUGCUGACCAGGAUGUGGGAAAAUGGGAGACCACUGCCCAUCCAUCAGCAUGGGGGAGGCUGGCAAAAGCUAGUCUUUGUUCCACAGCAAUUCCCCGUCCCUCCCCUGGAUGCAGGUGAGGAAAGCUGUUUCGUGGAUGGAGCGGAGGUUGCACUGGAUGAGAGUCAGAUGGAGUUUUACUGAAUCCAGCCGCCGCUGUCAGCACAAUAAAACACCUCUUGAAAACCAAAAACUUUUUGGUUUGUUUUCUUUCUGCAUAAUAGUUAGGGUGGGUUUAUUUAUUUAUUUCCCCCCUCCCCCAGCUGUAGUGAAAAUUUGAAGACUGCUUUUAGUAAACUUAAAACACUAUAGCAUGAUGUGAGCUUAUCUGAAGUUCAAAGGAGAUGGGAGGUGAUAGUGGUGCCCUGGAGCAUGUCUGAAAUUAAAAUGUCAUGUGAGUUAAGGGUGUCAGAAUUUUGAUCUGAGUAUAGUACAAUUUAUCUCAAUUAAGUGUUUUCACAAUCAGGGUCUUAAGAAUUGAUCCAUUGAAUUUUGCUGCAGGAAGGACUUCGGAAUUUGGCCCAUUAAUAAUAUUUCAGAUUCACAUAGCAUUUCCAAUCUAACCGGAUGUCAAAGCACUUUAAUAAAAUGAAAUAUUUUUUUAAUAUGAGCA